AGUGAACGCUGGCGGCAGGCCUAACACAUGCAAGUCGAACGGCAGCACAGUAAGAGCUUGCUCUUACGGGUGGCGAGUGGCGGACGGGUGAGGAAUACAUCGGAAUCUACUUUUUCGUGGGGGAUAACGUAGGGAAACUUACGCUAAUACCGCAUACGACCUACGGGUGAAAGCAGGGGUUCUUCGGACCUUGCGCGAAUGAAUGAGCCGAUGUCGGAUUAGCUAGUUGGCGGGGUAAAGGCCCACCAAGGCGACGAUCCGUAGCUGGUCUGAGAGGAUGAUCAGCCACACUGGAACUGAGACACGGUCAAGACUCCUACGGGAGGCAGCAGUGGGGAAUAUUGGAAAAUGGGGGCAAGCCUGAUCCAGCCAUACCGCGUGGGUGAAGAAGGCCUUCGGGUUGUAAAGCCCUUUUGUUGGGAAAGAAGAGCAGCAGGUUAAUACCCCGCUGUUCUGACGGUACCCAAAGAAUAAGCACCGGCUAACUUCGUG
RNAcentral lists this ribosomal RNA (492 nucleotides) under uncultured bacterium. RNAcentral describes it as "partial 16S ribosomal RNA". It matches the Rfam family "Bacterial small subunit ribosomal RNA", at positions 29 to 507 of the family's 1533-position model. The record is from RNAcentral.